UGAGGAACAUGACCUUCGGCGGGGGAUAGCCGGCCCAACGGCCGGGUAAUACCGCGUACGACCACAUGGGGACAUCCCUGAGUGGUGAAAGCAGCAAUGCGCCGAUGGAGUGCCUCGCGGCCUAUCAGCUAGUUGGUGAGGUAAUGGCUCACCAAGGCGACGACGGGUAGCCGGCCUGAGAGGGUGACCCGGCCACACGUGGGACUGAGACGCGGCCCAGACCUCCGUACGGGAGCAG
This 238-nucleotide ribosomal RNA is filed under the name uncultured bacterium. Its description in RNAcentral is "partial 16S ribosomal RNA". It matches the Rfam family "Bacterial small subunit ribosomal RNA", at positions 118 to 347 of the family's 1533-position model. The record is from RNAcentral.